RNAcentral lists this long non-coding RNA (558 nucleotides) under Monodelphis domestica (gray short-tailed opossum). Its description in RNAcentral is "lncRNA (ENSMODG00000048608.1)". The record is from RNAcentral. Lineage: Eukaryota; Metazoa; Chordata; Mammalia; Didelphimorphia; Didelphidae.
AGGAGCUCUGGCUUGGGACCUUGGACUACUUUUGGAUCUUCCUUUAGGAUUACCAUGUGGCUGAGUGAAAAGACUGACUCCUUUCCUGGGUCCUAGAGUGAGAGUUCAUGGCUACCUCCAGGACUGAGUUGAAUCCAGAGGAACAAGAAUGGCAGCCUCAGCCCUUCAUAUGAUGAUGGCCAUAGGGCUGCUAACUUUGAUUCUUCCCUGUCAUGCUGGUGACAAGCCAUCCAACUCUGAUGAAAAUUCAGAUGAGGAUCUCCCAUCAAUCUUAAACUUCUUAGGCACUGGGAUAAUUGAUUCUGCAAUGGAAUAUAUUCUCAAGUCAAUGUUCCAGAAAAAUGGAAUGGAAUGGGAAGAAAAAUCAAAAAAGGAUGCAGAAUGACAGACCCUGAAUACCAGUCAAUUCCUGGACCAGAUUCAACCUUUCCAUUCUCCCAGACUCAUUGACUAUUCAGUCCAGAAUCACUAAGCUACUUGGCAUCUACUGCUCUAGUUCUUUGGUACAGCAAGAGGUUGGUGCUAUGUAAAUGGAUCGUUUUCUCUUUCUGAGCUGCU